This 829-nucleotide unclassified non-coding RNA is filed under the name Hevea brasiliensis (rubber tree). Lineage: Eukaryota; Viridiplantae; Streptophyta; Magnoliopsida; Malpighiales; Euphorbiaceae. The record is from RNAcentral.
CUAAUCUCGUGUAAUUGAUUAGGCCAUUAAACAUUUCAGAUGAAGAGGAAGAGAAUAAGCACCAACCAAAUUCUCACACCAUCCAACAAAUAACCGUCCAGAGUCAUUCUGUAAUCACAAUACACAAAUUUAAUGAUUCCAUCCAAUUCUAUGUGUUCAUUCUAGAGACAACCCAAAUCGUCCACAACACCUCAUAGCCUUUCAAGCUGCAGGGUCUUCAAGCAUGGCAGUAGAUAAGUUGCUUAUUCGAGGAUAUGCAGCUUUCUCAUCAAGUUGGUUCUGAGCCCAUAUCAACAUUUUUAACAAACUUGGAAGCUUUGGAUCUUUUUCAUGACUCUGACUAGUUAGGAUGGCUGCAUUCACUUCACUUGCUGUCUUAAGGCGCUGUGAAAUGUCCAGAAGUUCUCCAACAGGGCAGUUGGUGACAUCUUCAAAAGCCAGCAGGGCAACAGUCCUCUCCAACUCUUCCAAAAAACUUUGAUUUUCUUCACCCCUGGGUGCAAGCUCCUCCUGAGCAAACUCCAAAGCCUCUUCUACUUUUCCAUUUCGAAUCAAUUCUAUCAACCGCUGCUGUUGGAGAUGGAAAAACAGUUGGGGAUUUGUAUCCAGUAUCUCAGGAUUUAAAUCAUUAACUUUCUCAAUUGCAUCCUCCACAUUUCCAGAUUGUACUGCCUUCUUAACAGCCAUGCGAUCAGUGAUUGUUGCAAGAUCUAUAUCUGGUUCAGUUCCAGACUCCAUCCGGAAUUUCUCAGCAGCAUCAACAUAACCCUCAGUAACAAGAAAAUUCAUCACCAAUUUAUUCAUGUCUUUUUUCCUAAUGUUUACAUCA